CAUUCAAUAUUGAAAAAAGGGAAAAUGAAUCCCUGAACCGGAUAACUGGACGUCAGUCACCAGUCCCUGACUCUGGCAAAGUUUGAACUCUUCAGAGCCCCAACUAGUGGAAAACUGGAAAACUGCACUUAAAGAGAAACUAAAAAGACAACCGCUGGUCUUCCCACAGCUUCUUAUUUACAGAUGAGGUCGCUGAAUCUCCAGCCACACUACUAGUAAGGGGGAAAGCAGAUUCAAGUCUGCUCUUUUGAGACAAAGACCAGGGACAUUUCCACUCCCCAGCAGCUGCCUACUACGUGCAAAGCCCUGAGCUGAAUGUUGCAAAGGAUACGAUGGUUACUCAUUUCCUGCAGACCUGCU
Cervus elaphus (red deer) is the source of this 360-nucleotide long non-coding RNA. RefSeq lists it as uncharacterized. Lineage: Eukaryota; Metazoa; Chordata; Mammalia; Artiodactyla; Cervidae. The record is from RefSeq and is a predicted model, not a curated record. The transcript is spliced from 3 exons.